GGAUCCAGACUUUGAUUAUGGCUCAGGAUGAACGCUAGCUACAGGCUUAACACAUGCAAGUCGAGGGGAAACGAUAGAGAAAGCUUGCUUUUUCUAGGCGUCGACCGGCGCACGGGUGAGUAACGCGUAUCCAACCUGCCCACCACUUGGGGAUAACCUUGCGAAAGUAAGACUAAUACCCAAUGAUAUCUCUAGAAGACAUCUGAAGGAGAUUAAAGAUUUAUCGGUGAUGGAUGGGGAUGCGUCUGAUUAGCUUGUCGGCGGGGUAACGGCCCACCGAGGCGACGAUCAGUAGGGGUUCUGAGAGGAAGGUCCCCCACAUUGGAACUGAGACACGGUCCAAACUCCUACGGGAGGCAGCAGUGAGGAAUAUUGGUCAAUGGGCGAGAGCCUGAACCAGCCAAGUAGCGUGCAGGAUGACGGCCCUAUGGGUUGUAAACUGCUUUUAUAAGGGAAUAAAGUGAGCCUCGUGAGGCUUUUUGCAUGUACCUUAUGAAUAAGGACCGGCUAAUUCCGUGCCAGCAGCCGCGGUAAUACGGAAGGUCCGGGCGUUAUCCGGAUUUAUUGGGUUUAAAGGGAGCGUAGGCCGGAGAUUAAGCGUGUUGUGAAAUGUAGAUGCUCAACAUCUGCACUGCAGCGCGAACUGGUUUCCUUGAGUACGCACAAAGUGGGCGGAAUUCGUGGUGUAGCGGUGAAGUGCUUAGAUAUCACGAAGAACUCCGAUUGCGAAGGCAGCUCACUGGAGCGCAACUGACGCUGAAGCUCGAAAGUGCGGGUAUCGAACAGGAUUAGAUACCCUGGUAGUCCGCACGGUAAACGAUGGAUGCCCGCUGUUGGUCUGAAUAGGUCAGCGGCCAAGCGAAAGCAUUAAGCAUCCCACCUGGGGAGUACG
Molecule: ribosomal RNA, 892 nt
Filed under: uncultured Bacteroidota bacterium
Lineage: Bacteria; Pseudomonadati; Bacteroidota
Description: bacterial SSU rRNA
Rfam family: Bacterial small subunit ribosomal RNA
Source: RNAcentral